Ictidomys tridecemlineatus (thirteen-lined ground squirrel) is the source of this 2135-nucleotide non-coding RNA. Lineage: Eukaryota; Metazoa; Chordata; Mammalia; Rodentia; Sciuridae. The record is from RefSeq and is a predicted model, not a curated record.
GCUUUGAACUGGCCGUCCUCCUGUCUUAGUCCCCCGAGCUGCUGGGAUUACAGGCACCACAGCUACACUGAAGUUUAUUGCUAUUGCUGUGUGUGUGCCCGUUGGGGACAGAGCCAUUGCACAUGCUGACUAUGGAGCCACCUCCCCUCCCUGAAGCUUAUUUUACCAGACAGUUCUAUGAGGACAAAACUGCAAAGAUGGACGGGGGUUUCCCAGGAAGAGGCAACUCCUUUCAGCAGCAGGAGGAAGGGCGCUUGGGCAGCAGGAGGAAGGGCGCUUGGGCAGCAGGAGGAAGGGCACUUGGGCAGCCCCGGAACUGGGACCCGUCCUGGAACCCGAGGCCAGAAGCCCUCGCCGCCACCCGAGACGGGCAAGGACGCGCAGAUGAGGUCAUUUUUCAGAUGAGGAAACUGAGGCCCAGGACGCUGCCCGGUCGGAUCCUGAGCUCAUGGUCGGACUCUAGCUCUGGUCAUCUCUCCCCGGGACGCUGCCUGCCCUGGAGAGGGCCUGGGGUGAGGGAAGGGAGUGGACACUUAGGGGGUUCACAGCCCCUGGUGCCCUGGUCUGGAGUCUCAGAAGCCAGAGCCCAGGGGUGUCCAGUCCCCCAACGUCCAGCACUCCCUCUUUGUCCCUCCAUUCCUGUGUUUACAGAGAGGAGACAGCCCAGUGGCCGGUCACUCAGCAUGCUGGCCGUGUGGAGCUGCUCCCUUGAUACCACCACACCGGGCCCGGGGUCCCAGGGAGGCGGAGACCUGGUGGUGGAAGGGAUGUGGGGCACAGGCAGAGGGUGGCCAUUCAGAAUGACGAAGGCCCAGGGUUGGCCCUCCAAGAGAAGACACAAAUCUCAUGUGCAAGACAGGGGGCCGGAGGUGCCAGUGCUCCCACCCCUCCCCAGAAACAAGAAGGAAGCCUUCCUGGAGGAGGUGACCAAGGAUGAAGUUCCCGAAGGUCUUGCAGGCAAAGACCUGGAGAGAGGGUGGGAGAGCUGGCACCGCGGGAGAGGCUGGAGGGAGAUGGGAAGGAGCAGGCGGGGCUCAGGGCCCCGAGUCGCCCAUGUGCUGGAGUAGAGCAGGGCAGGGACAGUGCGGGAGUGGGCAGAGGGAAGGAGCCAUGUGGGCAGAGUGAGGCACAUCUGGAAGCACAUCUGGAGGCCCAGGGUGUCCCAGAAGGUUGUCUGGAUCCUGGGGGCAGAAGUGAUGGUCACUGACUUUAGAGAGGUCUGGUUUGUGUUCUGGAAGGAUCACUGCCCUGUGGCUGGGUCGGUGCUGGUCUAGCUCCGUGCCGGGCACACACGGUAAAUGUUUGAAUCCAUGAACCGAGGCCUGGCAGGCGCCCGGGCAAUGGUCAGCUCCCCCGUGGGACUCCGAGCCUCGUUUGGGAAAAGAGGGCCACGGCAUGCGUGGAAGUGUCACGAUGCUUAAAGGAACCUGGUGGGGCUCCCUGUCCUGCUGGGGGUCAGCACCCCGCAGCUGGUGCCCUUAGGCCACGCAGGGAGGGUGCGGGGACCCUGAGGCAGGGACUUGGGCAGGAGGACCGGUCAUCCAGGAGUGGGAGGUGGAAACAGCAGUGAUGUUAGCGUGUGCUCCGUUCAGGCGACCCUCCCACACCGGGGAGAAGGCUCUAUUGUCACCCCGUUUUGUCAUCCAGGAAGCUAAGGCUCAGAGAGGAGCACCAGGCCAGCAGGGGGAUGGAAGACCCUAGAGCCCGGCUGCUGGCCGCUGGGGGAGGAGCCUGCUGAGACCUGCCUCAGGCUGACAGAACGUGAUGCUGCAGCCACUAAAUUGACGCCCAGGAGGGAUCUGAAUGGCCUGGGAACGUCUUCGGUUACAGCCCUGUGAAAAGCCAGGAUAUAAGGUGCUACAGGCACAAGUCACCUCAAUAAAACCAGAAAGAAAAACGCAGCUCGCUGGAGUCAAAGUUCAUUGAAAAUACACGGGAAAGUAAGGCUCCCCGCAAAACCGUGCACCCUGAUUACUUUGGGGAGGUAGCACUUUGAGUGGCUUUUAAAUUGGGGGAUUGAACCCAGGGGCACUUAAUCACUGAGCCACAUCCCCAACCCUUUUUUAUUUUAUUCUGAGACAGGGUCUCGCUAAGUUGCUGAGGCUGGCUUUGAACACAUGAUCCUCCUGCCUCAG